RNAcentral lists this ribosomal RNA (482 nucleotides) under uncultured bacterium. Its description in RNAcentral is "partial 16S ribosomal RNA". It matches the Rfam family "Bacterial small subunit ribosomal RNA", at positions 28 to 507 of the family's 1533-position model. The record is from RNAcentral.
GAUGAACGCUAGCGGCAGGCCUAAUACAUGCAAGUCGAACGAGAUUAAGAGGCUUGCUUCUUAUGAAAGUGGCGCACGGGUGCGUAACGCGUAUGCAACCUACCUUAAUCAGGGGGAUAGCCCGAAGAAAUUCGGAUUAAGACCGCAUAAAAACACAGGAUAGCAUUAUCCAAUGUUCAAAUAUUUAUAGGAUUAAGAUGGGCAUGCGUGUCAUUAGCUAGUUGGCGGGGUAACGGCCCACCAAGGCGACGAUGACUAGGGGAUCUGAGAGGAUGACCCCCCACACUGGUACUGAGACACGGACCAGACUCCUACGGGAGGCAGGAGUAAGGAAUAUUGGUAAAUGGAGGGAACUCUGAACCAGCCAUGCCGCGUGCAGGAAGACAGCCCUCUGGAUCGUAAACUGCUUUUAUUCGGGAAUAAACCUUUCUACGUGUAGGAAGCUGAAUGUACCGAAGGAAUAAGGAUCGGCUAACUCCGUG